This 642-nucleotide ribosomal RNA is filed under the name Didiplis diandra. RNAcentral's name for it is "eukaryotic LSU rRNA". The stretch from base 255 to 410 matches the Rfam family "5.8S ribosomal RNA". The record is from RNAcentral. Lineage: Eukaryota; Viridiplantae; Streptophyta; Magnoliopsida; Myrtales; Lythraceae.
UCGAAUCCUGCAAAARAGCAGAACGACCCGUGAACCGGUGAUGCAAAACAUGCCGUGGGAGCCUAGGCUCCCCUGGCACCGGGAUUUGCGCGGGCGGGCGCAUCGGUCGUCUCGCCGCGCGCGCUCCUGGGCUUACAACGUACCCCGGCGCGGAAGGCGCCAAGGGAACAUAAUCAAAGAUUAGCACGUGCCAUCCUGCGUCCCCGCUUGCGGGGAUGCGGGGCGGACCGUGCCGUCUUAAACAUAACAACAACGACUCUCGGCAACGGAUAUCUCGGCUCUCGCAUCGAUGAAGAACGUAGCGAAAUGCGAUACUUGGUGUGAAUUGCAGAAUCCCGCGAAUCAUCGAGUCUUUGAACGCAAGUUGCGCCCAAAGCCAUCAGGCUGAGGGCACGCCUGCCUGGGUGUCACGCAUCAUGCCGCCCCAAACACCCACUGCCAGCAUAAUCCCUGGCAGUCGGUAGGGCGCGGGAAUUUGGCCUCCCGUGGCAUACCCCGCUGCGGCUGGCCUAAAAAUGAAGCAUUGGGGAGCGACGUACUCCGCGGGCACGCGGUGGUGGUAAAUAUCGCCCCCCUCGGGCAUCCAGUCCGGAGCGUCUCUCCCCGGUGCUUUGGUGGGCCCUUACUACACCAGCUAMCASC